GAUGAACGCUGGCGGCGUGCUUAACACAUGCAAGUCGAACGAUGAAGCCCAGCUUGCUGGGUGGAUUCGUGGCGAACGGGUGAGUAACACGUGAGUAACCUGCCCUUGACUCUGGGUUAAGCGCUUGAAACGGCGUCUAAUACCUGCUACGAGCUUCCACCACAUGGUGAGUUCCUUGGAAAAAGUCCGGUCAACGGUCGACUCUAGGCCGAUCCGCUAGUUGGUGAGGUAACGGUACACCAACCCGACGACGGGUAGGCGGCCUGUGAGGGGGACCGGCCACAAUAGGACUGAGAGACGGCGCAGACUCGUACGGGAGGCAGUAGUGGAGAGUAUUGCACAGUGGGCGCAAGCCUGAUGCAGCAACGCCGCGUGAGGGAAGAAGGCUUAUGGGUGGUAAACAACUUUUAGAAGGGAAGAAGCGAAAGUGACGGUACCUGCAGAAAAAGCCCCGGCUAACUACGUG
RNAcentral lists this ribosomal RNA (466 nucleotides) under uncultured bacterium. Its description in RNAcentral is "partial 16S ribosomal RNA". It matches the Rfam family "Bacterial small subunit ribosomal RNA", at positions 28 to 507 of the family's 1533-position model. The record is from RNAcentral.